Molecule: small RNA, 31 nt
Filed under: Bombyx mori (domestic silkworm)
Lineage: Eukaryota; Metazoa; Arthropoda; Insecta; Lepidoptera; Bombycidae
Description: ovarian small RNA-20988
Source: RNAcentral
UACGAGAUCAAUGGGAACCACUCGGGUUCUU